Molecule: long non-coding RNA, 763 nt
Organism: Pseudopipra pipra
Lineage: Eukaryota; Metazoa; Chordata; Aves; Passeriformes; Pipridae
Exons: 2
Source: RefSeq, a predicted model, not a curated record
UUAAAACAAUCCUGUUUGUUAAAAUUCAUCUUUGAUGAGCAACGUAGCCUGCAGGUUACUAUAGCAGCAGGAUCCAUCACCUAGGUAACCAAGCACUAAUGAUGCCAACAUUAACCUAUCCCUACACACACCUCACACUGUGCACAUCAUCAGACCUCCACUUCUUGCAAGAUGAUUGUCUUCCUACCAACAGACGGCCAGUAACAGACCAUGUGGACAGUUUCCACGAGGAGGGAGCUCUCCUCACAGCACCAGCCUGCCCUGUUAAGAAGGAUUAUUUCAGAGAGCAUCCCCCGUGUAAGAGCUGGGCACCUGAGGUUCAGCAAAGAACAUUAGAAGCCAAGCCCUUGUCAUUCUGGAGAACAAAAGAAUAACUGUCUUCCUGAUAAAGCCAGUUUUCUUGUCUGUCUCUCACUGGCUGACAAUGGGAUAAUACCAGCAAAAAAACCCGAGAUCAAACUAGUAGUGCUGGAUCUGAGAAGAUAAAAGAAGAAACAAAUUUCAGAGAGAAAGGAACGUUGGGCAGAUGAGAGAAAUAAGAAACACAUUUCUACAGCAAAGGAUAUUUUACACUGAGGCUAGACAAGGGCAAAAGAUCCUAGGAGAAAACAGGGCCUCUCUGUUCCAGGGAAGAAGACAUCUGCUGUCAGAGGGCUACUGGGCCCUGAAAGAUUCAGCCUCAACACAGAGAACACUUGAGCACUGAAAAAAACCAAAAAAUAAGAACACGGAAAUGAAUAAAUGUUUUAUUGUUAACCGAGAA